UGCCCGAGAGUUUUAACUGUAGAAGGAGUGUAACUCCCAUCGUCGUGGAUAUAUCGAUCCUUUUAAGCGCCCGAUGCAUUGUCGGCAAUCGGGCCGUUGGUCCCCAGUGGAACGUUGGGCCCAAGUCGGGGUGCCGGAGCUUGUACUCCUGGCGGGCGCCUACCCACAGUCGAAGAGUCGAGAUCUCAAAUUUCAAGGUUUUGAAAUUAAAUUCGUAUUCCAAGUGAGGGGAUACAAAGUUCAUUGGUAGUACAAUCUCAGAUUGUCGGCAUUCCAAGUCCGUGGGAUGGCCA
This 293-nucleotide long non-coding RNA is filed under the name Elaeis guineensis (African oil palm). RNAcentral's name for it is "long non-coding RNA (EGUI_LNC018841)". Lineage: Eukaryota; Viridiplantae; Streptophyta; Magnoliopsida; Arecales; Arecaceae. The record is from RNAcentral.